GAUUCUUGACAUUCUUAGGAAUCACCUUGAGCUGGACAUUAAAGAGACACUUUUCUUAGAGUUGGAUCAUUGUUCUAAGACAAGAACUCACCAAAAACUAGCACCAAAUCCCAUACUCAUUUGGAUGCUCCACAUAUUGUCAAAUUGAAUCAACAAAGAGAGGUAAAAUUAAAAGGAACCGAACAUAAUUGAAUAAGCAAACAUAUGAACCGAACAAAAGUGAAAUUAAAAGGCAAGAACAGAAAAUAUGUGCUGGAAAACUAGAAUAGCC
RNAcentral lists this long non-coding RNA (271 nucleotides) under Phaseolus vulgaris (common bean). RNAcentral describes it as "long non-coding RNA (PVUL_LNC000632)". Lineage: Eukaryota; Viridiplantae; Streptophyta; Magnoliopsida; Fabales; Fabaceae. The record is from RNAcentral.